CCUCCACAUCCUGGGUGGUAGGUUAGUCCUGUGAAUGUUAUUCGUUUCAAUAAUAUUGGCAUCUGGGAUCAGAGAUCAAGGAUUUGAUUGGGUUUGAAUCGUCACAAAUUUUCAUUCUUCAAAAUGUCCCGACAAACUUAAAUGGCAGAUCUGACAAUAAUGGAAGCUGUUACACAUUGACUGAGUUUUUCCUUCUUUAAGGUGUGAUUUAAAAACGUUGACACUUUGUUUACAGACAGCGACGCUGGGAAUAAGCCGGAUGGCCAAUCAGAAGCCGAUCACUGGCGAGGACCCGCCCCUGCAGUGGAGGAAAAGUCAAGGGAGGAAGAGUUUGAUGAGUACUUUGAAGACAUGUUCCUUUGAAUCUGCUGGURUCUGUGGGAACCCUGCUGUGACUACACUUCCUUUUAUGUCUCGCAGACAUUAAGUAUGUUCUAUUUGGGUCUUGUGUGCAUGAAAUAAACAUAAUGUUUAUCCUGC
This is a long non-coding RNA of Austrofundulus limnaeus, 480 nucleotides long. RefSeq lists it as uncharacterized. The record is from RefSeq and is a predicted model, not a curated record. NCBI's taxonomy places the organism in Eukaryota, Metazoa, Chordata, Actinopteri, Cyprinodontiformes, Rivulidae. The transcript is spliced from 2 exons.